Molecule: ribosomal RNA, 434 nt
Filed under: uncultured bacterium
Lineage: Bacteria
Description: partial 16S ribosomal RNA
Rfam family: Bacterial small subunit ribosomal RNA
Source: RNAcentral
AACGAACGCUGGCGGCAUGCCUAACACAUGCAAGUCGAACGAGAUCUUCGGGUCUAGUGGCGCACGGGUGCGUAACGCGUGGGAAUCUGCCCUCAGGUUCGGAAUAACCAUUGGAAACGAUGGCUAAUACCGGAUGAUGACGUUAAGUCCAAAGAUUUAUCGCCUGAGGAUGAGCCCGCGUAGGAUUAGCUAGUUGGUGUGGUAAAGGCGCACCAAGGCGACGAUCCUUAGCUGGUCUGAGAGGAUAAUCAGCCACACUGGGACUGAGACACGGCCCAGACUCCUACGGGAGGCAGCAGUGGGGAAUAUUGGACAAUGGGCGAAAGCCUGAUCCAGCAAUGCCGCGUGAGUGAUGAAGGCCUUAGGGUUGUAAAGCUCUUUUACCCGGGAUGAUAAUGACAGUACCGGGAGAAUAAGCUCCGGCUAACUCCGUG